RNAcentral lists this ribosomal RNA (3030 nucleotides) under Salmonella enterica subsp. enterica serovar Typhimurium. Its description in RNAcentral is "bacterial LSU rRNA". It matches the Rfam family "Bacterial large subunit ribosomal RNA". Lineage: Bacteria; Pseudomonadati; Pseudomonadota; Gammaproteobacteria; Enterobacterales; Enterobacteriaceae. The record is from RNAcentral.
GGGUUGUGAGGUUAAGCGACUAAGCGUACACGGUGGAUGCCCUGGCAGUCAGAGGCGAUGAAGGGCGUGCUAAUCUGCGAUAAGCGCCGGUAAGGUGAUAUGAACCGUUAUAACCGGCGAUACCCGAAUGGGGAAACCCAGUGUGACUCGUCACACUAUCAUUAACUGAAUCCAUAGGUUAAUGAGGCGAACCGGGGGAACUGAAACAUCUAAGUACCCCGAGGAAAAGAAAUCAACCGAGAUUCCCCCAGUAGCGGCGAGCGAACGGGGAGGAGCCCAGAGCCUGAAUCAGCAUGUGUGUUAGUGGAAGCGUCUGGAAAGGCGCGCGAUACAGGGUGACAGCCCCGUACACAAAAGCGCAUGUGCUGUGAGCUCGAUGAGUAGGGCGGGACACGUGGUAUCCUGUCUGAAUAUGGGGGGACCAUCCUCCAAGGCUAAAUACUCCUGACUGACCGAUAGUGAACCAGUACCGUGAGGGAAAGGCGAAAAGAACCCCGGCGAGGGGAGUGAAAAAAGAACCUGAAACCGUGUACGUACAAGCAGUGGGAGCCCCACCACCAAAGCAUUCUCUGGUGUUGAAGGCCCUGCAAAGCAGCAUCGCGGUGGCGGAGCGUCGUUUGCGACGCCCAACACACAAAACAAGCGGUGAAUGCUUUGGGGUGGGGUGACUGCGUACCUUUUGUAUAAUGGGUCAGCGACUUAUAUUCUGUAGCAAGGUUAACCGAAUAGGGGAGCCGGAGGGAAACCGAGUCUUAAUUGGGCGUUAAGUUGCAGGGUAUAGACCCGAAACCCGGUGAUCUAGCCAUGGGCAGGUUGAAGGUUGGGUAACACUAACUGGAGGACCGAACCGACUAAUGUUGAAAAAUUAGCGGAUGACCUGUGGCUGGGGGUGAAAGGCCAAUCAAACCGGGAGAUAGCUGGUUCUCCCCGAAAGCUAUUUAGGUAGCGCCUCGUGAAUUCAUCUCCGGGGGUAGAGCACUGUUUCGGCUAGGGGGCCAUCCCGGCUUACCAACCCGAUGCAAACUGCGAAUACCGGAGAAUGUUAUCACGGGAGACACACGGCGGGUGCUAACGUCCGUCGUGAAGAGGGAAACAACCCAGACCGCCAGCUAAGGUCCCAAAGUCAUGGUUAAGUGGGAAACGAUGUGGGAAGGCCCAGACAGCCAGGAUGUUGGCUUAGAAGCAGCCAUCAUUUAAAGAAAGCGUAAUAGCUCACUGGUCGAGUCGGCCUGCGCGGAAGAUGUAACGGGGCUAAACCAUGCACCGAAGCUGCGGCAGCGACGCUGAUGCGUUGUUGGGUAGGGGAGCGUUCUGUAAGCCUGCGAAGGUGACCUGUGAGGGUUGCUGGAGGUAUCAGAAGUGCGAAUGCUGACAUAAGUAACGAUAAAGCGGGUGAAAAGCCCGCUCGCCGGAAGACCAAGGGUUCCUGUCCAACGUUAAUCGGGGCAGGGUGAGUCGACCCCUAAGGCGAGGCCGAAAGGCGUAGUCGAUGGGAAACGGGUUAAUAUUCCCGUACUUGGUGUUACUGCGAAGGGGGGACGGAGAAGGCUAUGUUGGCCGGGCGACGGUUGUCCCGGUUUAAGCGUGUAGGUGUGUGUUCCAGGUAAAUCCGGUUCACUUUAACACUGAGGCGUGAUGACGAGGCACUACGGUGCUGAAGCAACAAAUGCCCUGCUUCCAGGAAAAGCCUCUAAGCAUCAGGUAACAUCAAAUCGUACCCCAAACCGACACAGGUGGUCAGGUAGAGAAUACCAAGGCGCUUGAGAGAACUCGGGUGAAGGAACUAGGCAAAAUGGUGCCGUAACUUCGGGAGAAGGCACGCUGACACGUAGGUGAAGUGAUUUACUCACGGAGCUGAAGUCAGUCGAAGAUACCAGCUGGCUGCAACUGUUUAUUAAAAACACAGCACUGUGCAAACACGAAAGUGGACGUAUACGGUGUGACGCCUGCCCGGUGCCGGAAGGUUAAUUGAUGGGGUCAGCGCAAGCGAAGCUCCUGAUCGAAGCCCCGGUAAACGGCGGCCGUAACUAUAACGGUCCUAAGGUAGCGAAAUUCCUUGUCGGGUAAGUUCCGACCUGCACGAAUGGCGUAAUGAUGGCCAGGCUGUCUCCACCCGAGACUCAGUGAAAUUGAACUCGCUGUGAAGAUGCAGUGUACCCGCGGCAAGACGGAAAGACCCCGUGAACCUUUACUAUAGCUUGACACUGAACAUUGAGCCUUGAUGUGUAGGAUAGGUGGGAGGCUUUGAAGUGUGGACGCCAGUCUGCAUGGAGCCGACCUUGAAAUACCACCCUUUAAUGUUUGAUGUUCUAACGUGGACCCGUAAUCCGGGUUGCGGACAGUGUCUGGUGGGUAGUUUGACUGGGGCGGUCUCCUCCUAAAGAGUAACGGAGGAGCACGAAGGUUGGCUAAUCCUGGUCGGACAUCAGGAGGUUAGUGCAAUGGCAUAAGCCAGCUUGACUGCGAGCGUGACGGCGCGAGCAGGUGCGAAAGCAGGUCAUAGUGAUCCGGUGGUUCUGAAUGGAAGGGCCAUCGCUCAACGGAUAAAAGGUACUCCGGGGAUAACAGGCUGAUACCGCCCAAGAGUUCAUAUCGACGGCGGUGUUUGGCACCUCGAUGUCGGCUCAUCACAUCCUGGGGCUGAAGUAGGUCCCAAGGGUAUGGCUGUUCGCCAUUUAAAGUGGUACGCGAGCUGGGUUUAGAACGUCGUGAGACAGUUCGGUCCCUAUCUGCCGUGGGCGCUGGAGAACUGAGGGGGGCUGCUCCUAGUACGAGAGGACCGGAGUGGACGCAUCACUGGUGUUCGGGUUGUCAUGCCAAUGGCACUGCCCGGUAGCUAAAUGCGGAAGAGAUAAGUGCUGAAAGCAUCUAAGCACGAAACUUGCCCCGAGAUGAGUUCUCCCUGAGACUUUAGGUCUCCUGAAGGAACGUUGAAGACGACGACGUUGAUAGGCCGGGUGUGUAAGCGCAGCGAUGCGUUGAGCUAACCGGUACUAAUGAACCGUGAGGCUUAACCUUACAACGCCGAAG